GAAUAUUGCACAAUGGGCGAAAGCCUGAUGCAGCGACGCCGCGUGAGUGAAGAAGGCCUUCGGGUCGUAAAACUCUGUCCUAAGGGACGAUAAUGACGGUACCUUAGGAGGAAGCCCCGGCUAACUACGUGCCAGCAGCCGCGGUAAUACGUAGGGGGCGAGCGUUGUCCGGAAUUACUGGGCGUAAAGGGUGCGUAGGCGGCUCAUUAAGUCAGAUGUGAAAGGCUACGGCUCAACCGUAGUAAGCAUUUGAAACUGAUGAGCUUGAGUUAAGGAGAGGAAAGUGGAAUUCCUAGUGUAGCGGUGAAAUGCGUAGAUAUUAGGAGGAAUACCAGUGGCGAAGGCGACUUUCUGGCCUUUAACUGACGCUGAGGCACGAAAGCGUGGGGAGCAAACA
RNAcentral lists this ribosomal RNA (397 nucleotides) under uncultured bacterium. RNAcentral's name for it is "partial 16S ribosomal RNA". It matches the Rfam family "Bacterial small subunit ribosomal RNA", at positions 359 to 774 of the family's 1533-position model. The record is from RNAcentral.